This 253-nucleotide unclassified non-coding RNA is filed under the name uncultured bacterium. RNAcentral describes it as "contains 16S-23S intergenic spacer region". It matches the Rfam family "Bacterial small subunit ribosomal RNA", at positions 524 to 776 of the family's 1533-position model. The record is from RNAcentral.
UACGAAGGGUGCGAGCGUUAUUCGGAAUAACUGGGCGUAAAGGGUGCGCAGACGGCGCAUUAAGUCAACUGUUUAAUUUCCCGGCCUAACCGGGAACCAGCAGUAGAAACUGAUGUGCUCGAGGAUGGAAGAGAGAAGUGGAAUUCUCGGAGUAGCGGUAAAAUGCGUAGAUCUCGAGAGGAACACCGAUGGCGAAGGCAGCUUCUUGGUCCAUUCCUGACGUUCAUGCACGAAAGCGUGGGGAGCAAACAGG